UNGUCAGAAGGUGAAACUCUCAGAUUAACUAAAGACUAACUUAUGCGAAAGCAUUUGCCAAGGAUGUUUUCAUCAAUCAAGAACGAAAGU
Molecule: ribosomal RNA, 90 nt
Filed under: uncultured eukaryote
Lineage: Eukaryota
Description: partial small subunit ribosomal RNA
Rfam family: Eukaryotic small subunit ribosomal RNA
Source: RNAcentral